AAGUCGUAACAAGGUAACCGUAGGUGAACCUGCGGUUGGAUCAUUAUCAAAUGAUUGGUUCUAGGUUCGAGGGUCUCUGUGAUUCUCGCCUAGAGCUAUAAACCUCUGUGCACUGUUUUGUCUUUGGGUCGAGUUCUGUUCUGCAGAGCUUGGCCCGACUGUCUAUACAAACCUUUAUAUUUUGACUGACCUUUCUAAGAGAAUUUAGAGAUAACUUUUAACAACGGAUCUCUUGGCUCUC
Molecule: unclassified non-coding RNA, 241 nt
Filed under: fungal sp.
Lineage: Eukaryota; Fungi
Description: partial internal transcribed spacer region
Rfam family: Eukaryotic small subunit ribosomal RNA (bases 1-46)
Source: RNAcentral